UGGGGGCUUAUUUGGCCUCCCCAGGAUGGACUGGAGCAUCAGUAGUGCCCGGGUUUAUCACAGGACAGAUACUCAAGACACUCUUAUCACCAUUAGGUGGACUUGGAGGAGCAAAAAACAAGUGCAGUGGCUCCUCAGCAGAGACACUCCUGAAUGUAUAGACAUGGGAACCACCUUCAGCAUCAAAAAAGGAAACGUUCUGCAUGCCCAUAUCCAGAAAAAUCCCCACUCGCUGUAACUUGCGGUCUACGAAGAGGAAAGUCAGCGGCACCGUGCUGGCAGAGAGGCGGCUUCCAUCCCUCAAACUCACAGUCCAGAAUCCACGCUCUGUGGUCAGAUGGAUCCUCCCUUUGCGGUGAACAGAUUCUCUGCAGACUCCCAGGUCCCAUUCUGUGCUUGUUCCCACGUCCACCUCCCAGUAGUGGCGGCCACAGGUAAAGCGAGGGGAGCCCAGGAUGCAAAUGGACACGUCAAAUCUCUCGGCAAGGUCUUGCCGAUUCUGUGUGAUGCACCCACUUCGGACGCUCCUGAGGUCGUCAGAAAUGAGGAGGAAGUUGUUGGCUGUGUCGGCAUCCAAGGUCAUAUCCACUGUGAAAAGGAAAAAAAGUUGAUCAGAAAAUGGACAGAAGCCAACCCCAUGCCUCUCCUCUACUUCAAAGGCCCAAAUAUCUCUUGACUUUGGUUUCUUUAAUUCUCUUCUUCCCCCAAAAUCAAAACUUUUCAUGAGGCAACUUCCCUGACUAGUUCAAAUUCUCAUAGGUAUGCUUUGUGGCAAUACCCAACUCUUAUUCACAGUAGCAAUUAUUUUACUUUAUGUCACGUGUUUGCUUCAUUGGACUUUUCUUCAUUUAGAGUGGAGGGUCUCUGAAGGCAGACACCAUGACCCCCUUUCUACCACCUUGAUGCAUGAAAAAAUGAAUGAUAAUUAAGACAAUGCAAAUGGUCGAUGUUAAAUAUGUUUCUGCUUCCAUCUUGUAUUGCUCAACUCAGUAUAUAGAGCAUGAUUCCAGGCCUUUGUUUUCCAUGUUUGUAAGCAAAUUAAUUGUGCAUGGUUCUGACAGCAGGUAGGGUAUCUCUGCAGCUGACAAUGUGAUGACAGAGGUGCCGGUCCUGGACAUUAGGAGGCUCCAAGGCCAGGAGGAAGAGGGGGGCCUUAGAUGAAAGAAUGUUUUCCAUCCUACAUGGGAGGUGAAACCUUAAGCAAAACAAUGGUAAAUUUUGGAGUGAAGAGAAAGGUAUUUGAAAGUUGUUUGUUGGCUGAGCGCGGUGGCUCACACCUGUAAUCCCAGCACUUUGGGAGGCCGAGACGGGUGGAUCACGAGGUCAGGAGAUCGAGACCAUCCUGGCUAACACGUGAAACCCUGUCUCUACUAAAAAACAUACAAAAAAAUUAGCCGGACAUGGUGGCGGGUGCCUGUAGUCCUAGCUACUCGGUAGACUGAGGCAGGAGAAUGGCAUGAACCCAGGAGGCGGAGCUUGCAAUGAGCAGAGAUCAUGCCACUGCACCUCCAGCCUAGGCGGCAGAGCGAGACUCCAUCUCAAAAAAUAAAAAAAAAAAGAAAGUUGUUCGUCAUAACUGACUGAUCGUAGAGAAUAAGGGCAGUAAAUACAAAGGUCAAUAAUUUAAUGCAUUGGGUAUGUGGUUGAUAGGUGAAGCUGCCAAUUCUCAUGGAGGAGGCAGUGUGAUCUGGCCUAAAGAAAAUUAAUUGUCCAGAGCAUUCUGAAAAAAAAAUCUACAGAACAUAUGAUCCUUCAAGUCAAAAAACUGAUGAUCACCAAUAUAGAUUUUAUAGAUUACAGUAAGACUUGAGGAGACUGAUUGCUGUUUGAUGGUGAAUUAGGGAAUGAAAUGAGAUGAGUGGACAUGGACAAGGAAGGAGGAAGAGGGUUCCAAACAUGACUUAGGCAGGGUGAAUCUGUCCUCCAUAUUUCAGCAGAGACACAGUCAGGUAUGGGUAGGUGGAUGAGUAGAGAUCAUGGGUGUCAGGGCAGAAGCCACCACCAUUUAUAGGUGUAAUUCUUUGCCCAGGCUGACCAUAACCUCUUCAUUUAAAUGUCCCUAUUCCCCAGAGUUAUGGAGAGUGAUAGUAUUUUCUGUAGCCAGGACCCCUGUUGAAGUCCAUGGCACACCGAUGAGGAGACCAGCGUCUGCAACUCGCCCCACUCACAGAAACAAACACCAUAGGUGCUCCAUUCCAAACUCUUCCCAACCCUGGGGUGAGGUUGUUUGGUACAGUGGGUGCCAAUACUCACUGUGCAUUAGAAUUACCAGGCCCAUUUAAAUGUCAGAGUCCUGGGAACCUUUGCUAGAGAGAAAUUCAAAUUAAGUUGCUCUGUGUUUUUGCUACUCAGCAAAGUCCCCAAGCCAGCGGGAUCAAUCCUGAGACUUCCCAGUUCAGCAUCUGCAUUUUAACAAGAUCCCCAGGUAAUCUGAGCACACUAAGUUUAGAGAAUCCCUUGUCUAACCCAUGACAUAGACAUCAGGUUUUUUUUUUUGAGACGGAGUCUCACUCUGUCACCCAGGCUGGAGUGCAGUGGUGCAAUCUUGGCUCACUGCAAGCUCCGCCCCCCCCAGGUUAACGCCAUUCUCCUGCCUCAACCCCCAAGUAGCUGGGACUACAGGCACCCACCACCAAGCCUGGCUAAUUUUUUGUAUUUUUAGUAGAGACAGGGUUUCACCGUGUUAUCCAGGAUGGUCCCGAUCUCCUGACCUCGUGAUCCACCCGCCUCGGCCUCCCAAAGUGCUGACAUUACAGGCAUGAGCCACCAUGCCCAGCCAGCCUUUUUUUUGGAGAUCACCAGGUGAUUCUGUAUGUUGUCAGGGCUGAGAAUCUGAUGAUGAAGAAGCAUCUCAAUUUUAGGUGCCAGACAGCAGCUAAUCCCCAUAUGGAAUGAGGGGCCAGUUGCACAGAUGAUUUUUCCUGGUCUGGUCGUAGGAAGGGGGCAGUGUAUACAGAUCCCUCACCUUGGAACUUCCGCAUCCUUGGGUUCAUCUGCAGAAUCUUCUUCAGCUUGGGCUCCAGUUCCUUGAUGUGGGAAGCCAGCCUCUCUAGCUGCCAACUGGGCCUGAUUUUGUUCUUCUGAGAGACCAUGGAACAGCAACAGCAAAGUAGAUCCUCCCCAUGGGGCUCCUUCUGCAGUGAAUUGAUGCACUUGAAGCAGACAGCGCAUCCACACUCCAGGGACAUUGGUUUCUCUAGAUAGUCUGAGCAGACGGGACAGCUGCUUGCUUCUUGGAAGAGUGCAGCCAUGUCCACUGCCAGGGGAAAAGUGCACAAGGGAAGAAAAUUUCCGUGAGGUGAAAGCCUGUUAGUUGUGACAAGUGACAACCUUUUCAUGCAUAAAGGUAUUGUGUCCCAGCUUUGUCACUUCUAGAACAAGACCAUGAGUACAAACACUCAAGCACAUCCCCCCACCCCCCGUCUUCAGAGAUUUGAAGUUCUAUUGGGAAAGAAAGUCACGAAUCAUCACUGUGCUCUGAACUGAGGUGGAGGAAGGGUCCAUUCUACUGGUGACCCAGCAACUGAGCCUGAGCCAGUGACACGGCAGCACCCAUGUGAGGAACAGCGAGCUGGGGUCAUUUCACCUCCUCCUAGGGGAACCCCAGCAAGAGAUUGAUUGAUGAACAUAAGAAUUAGGGGCUGGGAGGCCGGGCGUGGUGGCUCAGGCCUAUAAUCCCAGCACUUUGGGAGGCUGACGUGAGUGGAUCAUCUGAGGUCGUCAAAAGUUCGAGACCAGCCUGAUGGGUGAAACCCCAUCUCUACUGAAAAUACAAAAGAAUUAGCCAGGCGUGGUGGCACACGCCUGUAAUCCCAGAUACUUGGGAGGCUGAGGCAGGAGAAUUGCUUGAACCUGGGAGGCAAAGGUUGCAGUGAGCCAAGAUCCAGCCAUUGCACUCCGGCCUGGACAACAGAGUGAGACACCAUCUCAAAAAAAAAAAAAAAAAAAAAGAGAGGGACUGGAUGCAGUAGCUCACAUCUGUAAUCCCAGCACUUUGCGAGGCCAAGGCUGGAAGAUCCCUUGAGCCAAGGAGUUUGAGAUCAGCCUGGGCAACACAGGAAGACCCCCUCUCUACAAAUAAUAGAAAAAUUAGCAGUGAGCAGAGAUCACACCAGGUCACUCCAACCUGGACAACAGAGUUAAGACCCUGUCUCACCAAAAAAAAAAAAAAAAAAAUCACAUCCUUCUCCAGCCUUGGAAAUGAAUACCAAAUUGACUGCCACCACUCCUAGACUGGAGAUCUGGGGAUCCAGGGUGACUGGUUUUCAACUCUGAGGCAGCACUCAGACAGCCUUUGUUGAAUUCAUUAAUUACGAAUUUCUCUCAUUCAUCCCCCAAGGCAUAACCCCCAUUUCUAGGCAUCUAAGGAGGAAAAACACACACACAGGCAUGGGCUCACCUCUUCUGCUGGAAGCUCCUCUGUCCUCCAGCUGCUUCCACUGGGCGCUCAGGUCUUGUGCGGAAGGGGCACAUGAGGGCGUUUUAUUGGUGAGAUUCCCACCUCCCACUGGGUCAUGCCCUUCCACACCCUCUAACCUAAUGAGGCUUUGAUUUAAUUAUAACAGGGAAUUAGGUUUUUACUGGUGAUAUAUCUCCAGUUAAUUGUAACUUUAGUAAAUCCUUCAUCCUGACAGUGUAUUUUUCUUUCAUAUGAAGAUAAGAUUAAAUUGCCUUUAUAUUAAAUUAGGCUUAAUGUACUAACUUCAAAAGCUUAUUUUAGAGAUGUUUCCAUCAGUUGUCAGUAAAGAUAAUUCCUGUAAUAUGUUGUAGGCUUCAAGCUUUGCUUGGAAACCUGAAGUAUUAAGUAUGAUUGGAUUUGCAAUUUUACAAAAUGGUUUAAAUUCAUAUACAUCAGACUCAAAGGUAAUAGGGGCAUGCAUUCCAUUGAGGAAAUUCUAGGGAAUUUUUAUUUAUUUUCAUUGGUUUAUUUCUGGUUUUGAAAAAAUUUCAUAAUUCAUAGGAAAAAAUUGGAUAAUUACUAUUUUGACAAAUGACCAUUAAGCUUCUUGGACCUUGAGUACUUCACACAGUGUUAAGAUAAAAGUCACAAUUUAAAAAAAAAAGAUGAUUUUCUUGUGAAACUUGUGUUCUCAAAUAAAAAUUGUUACCCGUGAA
This is a long non-coding RNA of Homo sapiens (human), 5115 nucleotides long. RefSeq annotates it as RFPL1 antisense RNA 1. NCBI's taxonomy places the organism in Eukaryota, Metazoa, Chordata, Mammalia, Primates, Hominidae. The transcript has a single exon. The record is from RefSeq and is marked validated.